CCUACGGGCGGCUGCAGUGGGGAAUAUUGGACAAUGGGCGAAAGCCUGAUCCAGCCAUGCCGCGUGUGUGAAGAAGGCCUUCGGGUUGUAAAGCACUUUCAGUGGGGAAGAAAGCCUUGGGGCUAAUACCCUCGAGGAAGGACAUCACCCACAGAAGAAGCACCGGCUAACUCCGUGCCAGCAGCCGCGGUAAUACGGAGGGUGCGAGCGUUAAUCGGAAUUACUGGGCGUAAAGCGCGCGUAGGCGGUCUGAUAAGCCGGUUGUGAAAGCCCCGGGCUCAACCUGGGAACGGCAUCCAGAACUGUCAGGCUAGAGUGCAGGAGAGGAAGGUAGAAUUCCCGGUGUAGCGGUGAAAUGCGUAGAGAUCGGGAGGAAUACCAGUGGCGAAGGCGGCCUUCUGGACUGACACUGACGCUGAGGUGCGAAAGCGUGGGUAGCAAACAGGAUUAGAUACCCUUGUAGUC
This 465-nucleotide ribosomal RNA is filed under the name Vreelandella stevensii. RNAcentral's name for it is "partial 16S ribosomal RNA". It matches the Rfam family "Bacterial small subunit ribosomal RNA", at positions 338 to 795 of the family's 1533-position model. Lineage: Bacteria; Pseudomonadati; Pseudomonadota; Gammaproteobacteria; Oceanospirillales; Halomonadaceae. The record is from RNAcentral.